CAGUAGCCGCGGUAAUACGAAGGUCCCGAGCGUUGUUCGGAAUCACUGGGCGUAAAGGGAGCGUAGGCGGCGUGGUAAGUCAGAUGUGAAAUCCCGGGGCUCAACCCCGGAACUGCAUCCGAUACUGCCAUGCUAGAGGAUUGGAGAGGUAGCUGGAAUUCUUGGUGUAGCAGUGAAAUGCGUGGAGAUCAAGAGGAACACUCGUGGCGAAAGCGAGCUACUGGACAAUAACUGACGCUGAGGCUCGAAGGCCAGGGUAGCGAAAGGGAUUAGAUACCCCUGUAGUCCCUGUCUCUUUACA
Molecule: ribosomal RNA, 301 nt
Filed under: uncultured bacterium
Lineage: Bacteria
Description: partial 16S ribosomal RNA
Rfam family: Bacterial small subunit ribosomal RNA
Source: RNAcentral